CCGCCGCCGCCACAGUCGUCCCUCGUGCCCAUCCCGUGCCCGCCUCCACUGUUGUCACUCUUCCCUUUCUUCGAUCGUCUUUGUGCUUGCCACCACCAUCUGUAGUCCUUUUCUUCGACCACGUUCGUGUCCAGCCCUCACCACCACCGUUGCACGUCCACAUCUGUCUCACAGGCUCAAAUCUAGUCUGCUUGUGGCUAGAUAUGUUGCAAGAGCGCCGAUUAGCUGUCAUCCGAAAGGUUCAAUUGUCUGUGAUGCUUCCUGAUGGAACUCCAGCGUCGGUGGCAGCCGCAGCAAGGCUUAAUCAACGACAGGGGUAGCAUAGUGUAUUUUGAUCAUAUAGUAGUAAGUUCUUCUUUUGCUUUAUUUCAUGGAGUCGAGAAGUUGUCAAGUGGUUGUUUAAGAGUACUGGGUUGUUAUCCUUUUGUUUAGGAGGUGUGUUUCUAGUGUGUAUAACUCUUGAUUCUCUUUAAUCAUUUCAAAUUAUCCAGAAACAAUUUUCCAUGAAGAAGAUGAUUUACAUUAAUUGAAAAAGGACUAAAAAUAAAAUUUUGACACACAUAUGUGUGUGUGUGGAUUGGACUGUAGGCUCACUGUGGAUUGGACUGUAGGCUCACUGUUGGGCUAAUUUCAUGGAGAUCCAUAUUUUAAGAUUCUGAUGAUAGCCAUUCGAUUUCGUAUUUGGAGACAAUUUUUUGACUUUGCCUUUCAACUUCACUAUAUUUUUAUAUAUAUACACACACACACAUCAAGAGAAAAGGUAGUGGGAGUGAGAUUUAAGAGUGGGGAGCUAAUUUCACAAAGUACAAAAUGUAUAAUAAUUAUUAAAGUACAAGUGGAAGCUUUUUGUAGAUUCCCAUUUUAGAACACACAAAAUUGUAGAGUUAAAUAAUGAGUGUGUUUGCAAAAUGUGGUUUGUUGUUUCUUGUUCCCAGUAGAGAGAGAACAAACAAAUUACAGCUAAUAUCUUAGAUCUUGAUUUCAUAUAAUAAUUCUCACUAUCUUUUUCUGUGCUUUUAUAUAUUUUAUUAAAAAAUGUUCUUUCUGGUACCUUGGAAACUUCUCAGUUUUGUUGUAUAUAUGUAUAUAUUAUUCUCUUUUGGGCUUUAGUUUAGCUAAUAUGAAUCUUAAUCAUUUGGGUUUUGGCAAAUGGAUUAUCAGAUUUGGUCAUGUUCUUCUCUAGAUUAAUUAAAUGAUUAUUAUUAUAUAAUGUAUGUAUAUUUGCCCCAUAAACUUAUAGAUUUCAACACAAUAUAGAUGUUUAAGUCAUGUCUUUAAUUUUAGGUUAUUAACUCUAGCUCACAUAAUAAUAAUACUAAGAAGAAGGUGGUUUAAUAAUGAUACAAUAUUGUAAAACAAAAAGUUAUUUUGUUUGCAUAUAAAUCUGGUAUGGAUGAUGACGACUUAUUUCUUAUACUUUCAUUAGGCUUUUCGACUUGGUAUGGUGCUUCUUGUUUUGAAUGCUUCUUAGAUAUUGUCAUUUAUCUUGUUUGUUAAUUUUCAGAUUCUUUUCUUGGGUUUGUAGGCUACUUUGGCUGAUUCCUUUCUAGCAUAUCUUGAUGAACUCUCUAAUGUAAACAAGUUUCAGGUUUCUAAAGGCUUUUUACUUCUCCGUGUAAAUGAAGUAAUAACUAUGUUGGAUGUUAUUAAGUGAGUGGUCCAGGGGCUUUAUAAAAUAGCUGGAAGCAAACUCAAUGGCUUGAUUGCUGGGGCUUGGGGAUGUCUUUGAGAGAAAAAGGUAUCUACAACGUGAAUCUAAUGACACUCAUUGUUUUUGUUACUUGGCUUUGAGCUCACUAUGGUUUAAUUGCUUAAAGAGAUCAUGAAAGUAUCAAAGAGAUACAUAAGAGAACAAAUGAGAUGCAGAAGAUGGGUUACAAGCGUUUUGCAAAGAACUGCAAAGAAAAAUGGGAAAAUAUGAACAAAUAUUUCAAAAGGAUCGGACCAUUGUAACUGGGAAGGCUAGUAUUGCAAAUGAUGCUUGUUAGCAGCAGCAGACAGUAUUUAUUUCUACCAAACAGAAGUAUACAAGUAGGCUGCCCUUUGCUAGCAGCAGACAAGACAAGGAAUAGAAACUCUGUAUGAUAUUUAUUUCUGGUUAUAAUCUUGGAUAUGGGCCUUCUUGUAGCUGGCACAAAAUAUCGUGGGGAGUUUGAAGAAAGAUUAAAGAAACUGAUGGAGGAAAUAAAACAAAGUGAUGAAAUAAUUCUAUUUAUUGAUGAGGUACAUACAUUAAUUGGAGCAGGGGCUGCAGAAGGAGCUAUUGAUGCAGCAAACAUAUUAAAACCUGCCCUUGCAAGGGGUGAACUGCAGCCAUUGGCAAAGAAACUUGGGAUAAAAGUGGUGCCAACUUUCAAAAUUCUAAAGGAUAAGAAGGUCGUUAAAGAAGUAACUGGAGCAAAGUUCGAUGAUUUGGUUCAUGCCAUUGAUACUGUAAGAUCCAGCUGAAAACUCUCCUCUCUUCUCUUCUUUGAAAAUUUAAAUAAUAUGAUGCAAGGAAGAGUGUUCAGGGCAGUUAUUUAAAUAAUAUGAUGCAAGGAAUCGACCAUGGAAAAUG
Cucumis melo (muskmelon) is the source of this 2557-nucleotide RNA transcript. It is a transcript of the gene named chaperone protein ClpC2, chloroplastic-like, with no coding region annotated. NCBI's taxonomy places the organism in Eukaryota, Viridiplantae, Streptophyta, Magnoliopsida, Cucurbitales, Cucurbitaceae. The transcript has 7 exons. The record is from RefSeq and is a predicted model, not a curated record.